Molecule: ribosomal RNA, 2203 nt
Filed under: human gut metagenome
Description: bacterial LSU rRNA
Rfam family: Bacterial large subunit ribosomal RNA
Source: RNAcentral
UGUUGCUUGCAAGGGCGUAUGGUGGAUGCCUUGGCAGACAGGACCGAUGAAGGACGUUUGAGGCUGCGAUAUGCCUCGGGGAGCCGCCAACAGGGCUUUGAUCCGAGGAUUUCCGAAUGGGGGAACCCACCGACCGUCAUGGGUCGGUACCGGCUUCGGCCGGGGGGUACGCAGGGAAGUGAAACAUCUCAGUACCUGCAGGAAAGGAUAUUCCGUGAGUAGUGGCGAGCGAAAGCGGAUGAUGGCCAAACCUUGCGCGUGUGAUACCCGUCGGGGGUUGCGCGCGGGGUGUUGCGGGAUCGCGUGCGCCGGCUCCGACGGGCCGGCCGGCAGUUGCAGAAAACCAUGUGUCAGGGGAACCGGGUUGAAUACCGGGCCGCAGAGGGUGAGGGCCCCGUACCUGAACGCGCAUGGUCUGCCGAUCGCGUCUCCCAAGUAGCACGGGUCCCGUGGAACCCCGUGCGAAUCCGCCCAGACCGUUGGGUAAGCCUGAAUAUUCCUGUCUGACCGAUAGCGAACGAGUACCGUGAGGGAAAGGUGAAAAGUACCCCGGGAGGGGAGUGAAACAGUCUCUGAAACCGUGCGCCUACAAUCCGUCGGAGCCCUUUUGUGGGGUGACGGCGUGCCUAUCGAAAAAUGAGUCUGCGAGUCAGUGGCAUGUGGCGAGCAUAACCCGUGUGGGGUAUGCGUAGCGAAGGCGAGUCUUAAAAGGCGUUUGAGUCGCGUGUCCUGGACCCGAAGCGGGAUGAUCUAGCCCUGAGCAGGUUGAAGCGCGGGUAAGACCGCGUGGAGGACCGAACCCACCUGGGUUGAAAACCGGGGGGAUGACUUGGGGCUAGGGGUGAAAGGCCAAUCAAAUUCCGUGAUAGCUGGUUCUCUCCGAAAUGCAUUUGGGUGCAGCGUCGGGUCAUUACGUCCCGGGGGUAGAGCUACUGGAUGCUUGCGGGCCCGUAUCGGGUACCAACAGCAACCAAACUCCGAAUACCGGUGACGCGUAUCCCGGCAGUGAGUCGGCGGGGGAUAAGCUUCGUCGUCGAAAGGGAAACAGCCCAGACCGUCGUCUAAGGUCCCGAAGCGUGUGCUAAGUGGGAAAGGAUGUGGAGUCGCAUAGACAGCCAGGAGGUUGGCUCAGAAGCAGCCACCCUUGAAAGAGUGCGUAACAGCUCACUGGUCUAGUGGUUCCGCGCCGACAAUGUAGCGGGGCUCAAGCACACCACCGAAGACGCGGCAGUAUUUUGUACUGGGUAGGAGAGCGUCCCAUGAGGGGCGAAGCGGCCGUGUGAACGCGCCGUGGACUUCAUGGGAGUGAGAAUGCAGACAUGAGUAGCGAGAGACGGGUGAAGAUCCCGUCCGCUGGAUGACCAAGGGUUCCAGGGCCACGUUCAUCGUCCCUGGGUGAGUCGGGUCCUAAGGCGAGGCCGACAGGCGUAGUCGAAUGGAUGAACGGGUCGAUAUUCCCGUACCGGCUUUCAGCCGCCAAAACCGAGGCUUGGAGUACUAACCUCCGGGUCCGGGCUUACUGCUCCUUCGGGGGCGGGAUGCCCUGGCCUGUUGGGACCGAUCCUUGUAGUAGGUCAGCGCAGGAGUGACGCAGAAGGGUAGCCGGCCGCGGAGGUGGUCUUCCGUGGUCAAGCACGCAGGGCGUGGGACAGGCAAAUCCGUCCCGCAUGGGUCCGAGGUGCGAUGAUGGGGGCCUUAUGGCCCGAUAUCCGGUGAUCCCGGCUGCCGAGAAAAGCUUCGGCGUCAGGCUCAAAGCCGCCCGUACCCCAAACCGACACUGGUGGUCAGGUAGAGAAUACCAAAGCGAUCGAGCGAAUCCUGGUCAAGGAACUCGGCAAAUCACUCCCGUUCCUUCGGUUUAAGGGAGACCCCCGAUGGUGAACACACUUGCUGUGGGAGCUUUUGGGGGUGGCACAGACCAGGGGGUAGCGACUGUUUACCAAAAACACAGGUGCAUGCGAAGGCGCAAGCCGCUGUAUAUGCACUGACGCCUGCCCGGUGCCGGAAGGUUAAGAGGAUCCGUCAGCCCUCGGGUGAAGCGGUGAAUUCAAGCCCCGGUAAACGGCGGUGGUAACUAUAACCAUCCUAAGGUAGCGAAAUUCCUUGUCGGGUAAGUUCCGACCUGCACGAAUGGCGUAACGACUUCCCCACUGUCUCGACCAGGAGCUCGGCGAAAUUGCAGUACGAGUAAAGAUGCUCGUUA